Molecule: transfer RNA, 126 nt
Organism: Sclerotinia sclerotiorum
Lineage: Eukaryota; Fungi; Ascomycota; Leotiomycetes; Helotiales; Sclerotiniaceae
Rfam family: tRNA
About the family: Transfer RNA (tRNA) molecules are approximately 80 nucleotides in length.
Source: Rfam
GCCCGUUUGGCUUAGCGGUAAAGCGCAUCACUAGUAAUUCUUCGUGUUACUACCUAUCUCCAUCUGAAUGGGUAGAAGCACGAAUGGAUGAUGAUGAGAUCCUAGGUUCGAUUCCUAGAACGGGCA